This is a long non-coding RNA of Mesocricetus auratus (golden hamster), 1791 nucleotides long. RefSeq lists it as uncharacterized. The transcript is spliced from 2 exons. The record is from RefSeq and is a predicted model, not a curated record. Lineage: Eukaryota; Metazoa; Chordata; Mammalia; Rodentia; Cricetidae.
UCUGGGAGGAGGGAAAAGACAGAGGAAAGGUCCUGUGUCUCCUUAGGGCUGAUAGACACAGUGCACAGUGUCCCCAGCUCUCCCUUGACAGGGCUUUGGACACAACUUUCUGAGUCUCAGUGUCACCAUGUGGCAAAUGAGUAGGUACCACAAGAGGCAAAAUGUCAAAGAAAUCAUCUUUAGCACACCUUCUUUGUAGGGUUAGUGUGGUCCUGGGGCAAUCUGCCAGUAUCCUGGCUGGUGGCCCUAUCAUAGGCCAUGCUUCCUCUGCAUUUCCUUCCAUAGCUACCUGGAAGUCAGAACCCAGGUUCCAGAGCUGGGCAGUCAAAGGCUCUGUGCUAGGCAUGUGACCUCCAGCCCGUCUGUGGCUCUCUGUGCCUUCCCAGUAGCGUCCCGUAGCUUCCAGGCCCUAGAGCAGACCCAGCCCCCUACUUCCCUCUUCAUCCCUAUCUCCCCUCAGACCUGCUUAGCCUCUCCCAGGCCCUCGGAAUGCACUGGGUGGCCUUCUUGUCUUUCCCUCUGGGACGAACACCACUUGUUCCAGGUCUCGGUACGGCUAUCCCCACCCUGGACCAGGCCUUUGUUCUGACCCUCUAGCCACCUUCCAUAGCUGUCCCACCAGGGAUCACUGCUGUGACUAUCUGGGUGCUGGCCUCCACUCAGUCUCACACUCAACUGUGGAGAUCUGGGAGAGGUGACGGUCUUGUGUUCUCUGCUGUCUCCCCAGUGCCCUCGACAACACAACGGCUGCUGGCCUGCCUCUUGGCAAUGCUACGUCCCUUAGGACCCAAGGUCUGGGUCCGUGCCCACUGCGGGACCCAGUUCUGAGCCAGCCCAUGACUCAAACACUCAGCUGCCAGCUUGGGACCAGAGGGGAAGUAGCUGGUGGAUUUAAGAAAAAGGCCAGGGAGGGUGUCUGGGAUAUAAGUGCAAAUGCCUUUGGGGGAUGGUUCCCAAAGCGGGCAUCCCUUACAGAGGAUAAAGCCUCUGAAGGCUGCUGGUUUUUUUGUUUUUUUGUUUUUUUGUUUGUUUGGUUGGUUGGUUGGUUUUUGGUUUUUCGAGACAGGGUUUCUCUGUGGCUUUAAGGCUGUCCUGGAACUAGCUCUUGUAACCAGACUGGCAUCGAACUCACAGACUGCCUCUGCCUCCCGAGGGCUAGGAUUAGGCUGCUGUAUCUUAAAGUCCAUCCAUCAUGGCACAGAUGGAGAAACUGAGACCUAAGAAGGAAGGAACCAGAACAGCUUCUCAAAGCUACUCGGUGACGGGGCCAAAACUCAGAACUGGAGGUCAGAGACCCUUAGGUUUGAGUCCCAGAUCUGCUGUACCCUGGCAACUCCUUACUGGAGUAGGAAACACCGAGGGUUCCAGGGAACCAAGAGCUCAGUUGGGGUCUGGCCACAACAUCCUUCCCACGUCUGGCAGGCUAGCAGAGGGGUGAGGAGAGGUGGUGUCUCCAGGCUAGGCUUCAUCUAUGUCAAGGGUACCUCCUAGCCAUUGCUCCUUGUCCUGGGACAGAAAGCCUCCUCCCCACCAUCCCAAUGUCCACCCAGUGUUACACUGCCCCCUCACGAUGUUGCCACCAUGGCUGCCCACUGUAAGCCUAAUGACCCACCCACAACAUGCCUCCAGUUGGAGGCCAGCCUUUAUUAAAAGCAGAAGCUAGGUGAUGAAAAUAUUCUAAAACUGUUGUGACAAUGGAUAUGCUGUGAAUAUAUGAAAGCCUACAGAACUGUACUGUUUAAAUGGUAAAAUCCAUAGUGUGACAUACAGCUCAAUAAAGCUUUUAUAACA